AGGGUGUAAACGCUGCAGACUUGGUGUUGGAGGCCCUUUGGGGGCAUUCAGUGCCGGAGAGAAGUUGUUAAGUCUGCUACUUGGGGAGUACGUCCGCAAGGAUGAAACUUAAAGGAAUUGGCGGGGGAGCACCGCAACGGGAGGAGCGUGCGGUUUAAUUGGAUUCAACACCGUAAAACUCACCAGGGAAGACUGUUACAUGAAGGCCGAGAUGAAGACCUUACUAGAUUUUCAGAGAGGAGGUGCAUGGCGUCAGUGACU
Molecule: ribosomal RNA, 261 nt
Filed under: uncultured archaeon
Lineage: Archaea
Description: partial 16S ribosomal RNA
Rfam family: Archaeal small subunit ribosomal RNA
Source: RNAcentral